Molecule: long non-coding RNA, 1500 nt
Organism: Salvia splendens (bonfire salvia)
Lineage: Eukaryota; Viridiplantae; Streptophyta; Magnoliopsida; Lamiales; Lamiaceae
Exons: 2
Source: RefSeq, a predicted model, not a curated record
UAUACCUAUUCUCCCUUCUCCCUUCUGGAAUUUACGGGAGUCAUCUCCCUCACAUUUUCUACACCUUUACUGACACACCGCCAUUCCUCUACACACGACGAUCUCUCUCAACUCUCUUACUAAACACACGCAUACACACAACGUUUGAAAGGAAUCAGACUUUCCUCCCCUCACAAAUUCUUCUGUGUUUCACCUAAAACAACCGUUGAUCGCCGCCGGCGAGUUUAGCUGCCAGCAGUUCAGUUUCCCCUCUUUGCUCAAAGUUUAUCCUCCUCAUCUUCUCCGACCUCCAUUGAGAGAUUACAAGGUUAAAGCUUUGUUUACCCAGACUCAUUUCUUUCAAUUUAAGGUAGAAAUUGAACUCCUCUUUGAUUAUCUCACUUCUUAAGUUAAUGUUUGUGGUUUUGAGUUCAAGAUUUUUGCUUUUGGUUGUGUAUGGGAAAGUGGGAAUUUUUAGCCCUCAAUCUGAAAUUGGGGAUUUCAUAUUAUUAUGCUUGUUGUGGCUCCUAAUUAGUUGCUGGGAGUGAAUUUGUAUAAGUGGUUGUGGUGAAAGAAACAAAGGAGAUAGCCUUUUGUGUCAUGUUCUGGCCGAAUUUGUCAACUCCAGUUUAACCAAGUAAACGAUCUCUUUUUCUUGCGAAAUUUUAACUGAACAUACUUUUAUGUGUCUUCUGCUAUGUGGCCAAAAUUCAGCUUCAUCCGAAUCGAAUUGAAUUUAUAAUGAAUUUUGAAAGGGGACUGCGCUGUUCAGCUAAGUUUGGGUAUAUUUUGCUGUUUUCAGCUGCUGGUUUUGAAGUUUUCGACACCCUUAAGGUGUUGCAAAUUGUAUUUUCAAAUUUUCUGCAUGAACCUUGAUGUGUUGGGGAGCUCUUUGUAAAAUUUCAACUGAUUUGGAUGUCAUUUACUAUUUUUAGAAAAUCUCCAAACACAGCUGCCAAAACCUGUCAGGUAGUGAUAGACAGUGGGAAAAUGGCCAUAUCUCCCAACCUACUUGGGAAUUUUGAGAGAACUUUGUUUUAAAAUUAAACUAGACACCAAGGGGCUUCUUUUGGCAUAGGGCUUGACCUCUUAUACUCCGUGCAAAAGAAGUAACUAAAGAGAACUUGUUCAUUGCUUAAGUUAUUUUUGGUGUUGUGUUGAUAAGAAUUAUUUAUUGAAAGGUAAUCCUGGCCCGAGGGAUAGCACGGGCAAGGAGAAGGCGAGUGAGUAAAGUGACCUAGUACGGCAUUUUGGAUUUUGAGAUUAUCUCUUUCGAUGUACAGCUGCUCAAGUCGGGUCACUAGCCAACCUUUUUGUGUUCAGAAAAUUCUUUCGGAUAUGCUAGAUGUGGCAUGUAUAGAAAGUGUAAUAUAGUUCGGACGUUUCAUUUACUUCGUUAUCCAGGUUGUAUAAAUAUAUAUAGACUUUUGGAAAUAGGUUUAUGGUCUAACUUCAGACGUUAUAUAGCAAUUUUUCCGUUUGCCAAGUAAAGGAAAAUGAUACAUCUUUGUAUAAAAAAAA